RNAcentral lists this long non-coding RNA (220 nucleotides) under Elaeis guineensis (African oil palm). RNAcentral's name for it is "long non-coding RNA (EGUI_LNC080472)". The record is from RNAcentral. Lineage: Eukaryota; Viridiplantae; Streptophyta; Magnoliopsida; Arecales; Arecaceae.
GGACCACAUGUUAAAUCAUGCAACUCAUCGGUCGCACCCACUUCUUUAUUGAAAUGCUUAUGUUUUAUCUACAUCAUAAGAUAAAAAAUUAUGUUGGUUCAAAUAAUAUUAUUUAUAAAUAAAUAAAUAAUGUAUCACUAAUAUAACUUAUAAAAUCACCAAAUCAUUUUGCAAAUUCUCUCCUAUGUCAAUCAUCGGUAUCUAUAUUAUUCUCUCUAUA